Molecule: ribosomal RNA, 301 nt
Filed under: uncultured bacterium
Lineage: Bacteria
Description: partial 16S ribosomal RNA
Rfam family: Bacterial small subunit ribosomal RNA
Source: RNAcentral
CAGUAGCCGCGGGAAUACGUAGGUGGCAAGCGUUGUCCGGAAUUAUUGGGCGUAAAGGGCCCGCAGGCGGUUUCUUAAGUCUGAUGUGAAAGCCCCCGGCUCAACCGGGGAGGGUCAUUGGAAACUGGGAAACUUGAGUGCAGAAGAGGAGAGUGGAAUUCCACGUGUAGCGGUGAAAUGCGUAGAGAUGUGGAGGAACACCAGUGGCGAAGGCGACUCUCUGGUCUGUAACUGACGCUGAGGAGCGAAAGCGUGGGGAGCGAACAGGAUUAGAUACCCCGGUAGUCCCUGUCUCUUAUAC